AUUGAACGCUGGCGGCAUGCCUUACACAUGCAAGUCGAACGGCAGCAUGGAAGAGCUUGCUCUUCUGAUGGCGAGUGGCGAACGGGUGAGUAAAGCAUCGGAACGUACCGUGUAGUGGGGGAUAACGUAGCGAAAGCUGUGCUAAUACCGCAUACGAUCUAUGGAUGAAAGCGGGGGACCGUAAGGCCUCGCGCGAUUGGAGCGGCCGAUGUCAGAUUAGCUAGUUGGUGGGGUAAAGGCCCACCAAGGCGACGAUCUGUAGCUGGUCUGAGAGGACGACCAGCCACACUGGGACUGAGACACGGCCCAGACUCCUACGGGUGGCAG
Molecule: ribosomal RNA, 327 nt
Filed under: uncultured Pseudomonadota bacterium
Lineage: Bacteria; Pseudomonadati; Pseudomonadota
Description: bacterial SSU rRNA
Rfam family: Bacterial small subunit ribosomal RNA
Source: RNAcentral